AGUGAACGCUGGCGGCAGGCCUAACACAUGCAAGUCGAACGGCAACACAGUAAGAGCUUGCUCUUACGGGUGGCGAGUGGCGGACGGGUGAGGAAUACAUCGGAAUCUACUUUUUCGUGGGGGAUAACGUAGGGAAACUUACGCUAAUACAGCAUAUGAUCUACGGGUGAAAGCAGGGGAUCUUCGGGCCUUGCGCGAUUGAAUGAGCCGAUGUCGGAUUAGCUAGUUGGCGGGGUAAAGGCCUACCAAGGCGACGAUCCGUAGCUGGUCUGAGAGGAUGAUCGGCCACACUGGAACUGAGACACGGUCCAGACUCCUACGGGAGGCAGCAGUGGGGAAUAUUGGGCAAUGGGCGCAAGCCUGAUCCAGUCAUACCGCGUGUGUGAAGAAGGCCUUCGGGUUGUAAAGCCCUUUUGUUGGGAAAGAAAAGCAGCAGGUUAAUACCCCGCUGUUCUGACGGUACCCAAAGAAUAAGCACCGGCUAACUACGCG
This 492-nucleotide ribosomal RNA is filed under the name uncultured bacterium. Its description in RNAcentral is "partial 16S ribosomal RNA". It matches the Rfam family "Bacterial small subunit ribosomal RNA", at positions 29 to 507 of the family's 1533-position model. The record is from RNAcentral.